RNAcentral lists this ribosomal RNA (465 nucleotides) under Vreelandella stevensii. RNAcentral describes it as "partial 16S ribosomal RNA". It matches the Rfam family "Bacterial small subunit ribosomal RNA", at positions 338 to 795 of the family's 1533-position model. Lineage: Bacteria; Pseudomonadati; Pseudomonadota; Gammaproteobacteria; Oceanospirillales; Halomonadaceae. The record is from RNAcentral.
CCUACGGUGGGCUGCAGUGGGGAAUAUUGGACAAUGGGCGAAAGCCUGAUCCAGCCAUGCCGCGUGUGUGAAGAAGGCCUUCGGGUUGUAAAGCACUUUCAGUGGGGAAGAAAGCCUUGGGGCUAAUACCCUCGAGGAAGGACAUCACCCACAGAAGAAGCACCGGCUAACUCCGUGCCAGCAGCCGCGGUAAUACGGAGGGUGCGAGCGUUAAUCGGAAUUACUGGGCGGAAAGCGCGCGUAGGCGGUCUGAUAAGCCGGUUGUGAAAGCCCCGGGCUCAACCUGGGAACGGCAUCCGGAACUGUCAGGCUAGAGUGCAGGAGAGGAAGGUAGAAUUCCCGGUGUAGCGGUGAAAUGCGUAGAGAUCGGGAGGAAUACCAGUGGCGAAGGCGGCCUUCUGGACUGACACUGACGCUGAGGUGCGAAAGCGUGGGUAGCAAACAGGAUUAGAUACCCGGGUAGUC